CGUAGUUCUCACUCAGUACUCUUAUCCCAAGAAGGCGUUACACACUUACAUCCAUUUCAUGGUCAUAUUUAUUAUUACUGCUAUUAAUGACCACAGUAAAGCUGACUUUGUGAGUCUCUGGGACAAGGGGAAUGAAUUUGAGUGGGUGGGACAGAAAGAGGGAAGCAUCUCAGGAUGAAAGAACAAGUGACCAGUGGGUCUGGGGCAGGAGGAGACGCUGAGAGACUGAGGGAGAUUCUUGCAGAGUUUGCCAAAAUUAGGGUUACUACACAUGUCCCUGGGGUAAGACUGGAAUUACAUUACAUUCUGAAGUGGUUACUAAGUGAAUAGGAAGCAACAGACAGACAAGGUGUGGCCAAAAAGCCUUCACCAUCUUUCAAGGAAGACAUACUGGAAGAACCUAAAACCAGGGCAUGGUGGACCAGGAGAUAGGAAAUGAAUUAUUAAGAUGCUGUCCAAGUGGAAGUCACAACUUGGACACUUGAUGAGAAUUAAAAGUGGGUGGGGAAGAGGGCCAGGUCCUCCUGUGAUUCUGGGGCUUUCUGGGUGAGUGUUGGCCAUGCCAGCAGCUGCCCUUCUGAUCUCCAAGGGGUUGGGGUUCCACGUUGUCAUGGCUGGAUGUGUACCAAGCCAAGCUCUGUUCCAGAAAUCCUUAUCACUGCUGGUGGUGAAAACGUGCCCCCCAUUCCCGUUGAGACCUUGGUUAAGAAGAAGAUCCCCAUCAUCAGUAACGCCAUGUUAGUAGGAGAUAAACUGAAGUUUCUGAGCAUGUUGCUGACGCUGAAGGUAACAUGGGUUUGCUGCCAUUGGGGGAAGUCUCUGCAGCCGGUCUUACGUUCCCUGGCCCCACCCCAGGGUCAAGAGGAUGCAUCUGUGGGUUCAAGACCCACUUCUUGGUCUGUGGGCCUGGGGAGGGGUGCUGGUCAAGGAGUAUGUGUGGUGACAGAGGUGUCCGGGGGCAGUGUGAGAUGAAUCAGAUGAGCGGAGAACCUCUGGACAAGCUGAACUUGGAGGCCAUCAACUUCUGCCGGGGUCUGGGCAGCCAGGCAUCCACCGUGACUGAGAUUGUGAAGCAGCAAGACCCCCUGGUCUACAAGGCCAUCCAGCAAGGCAUCAAUGCCGUGAACCAGGAAGCCAUGAACAAUGCACAGAAGAUUCAAAAGUGGGUCAUCUUGGAGAAGGACUUUUCCAUCUAUGGUGGAGAGCUAGGUCCAAUGAUGAAACUUAAGAGACAUUUUGUAGCCCAGAAAUACAAAAAACAAAUUCAUCACAUGUACCAUGACUGCUUUGAUGGAGCUGCUGUCAGCUAUUCUGAUGCCUUCAGCAGGAAGACCUCAUUGCAAUAAGUGAAAUGCUGCUCUGGGUAGAAGCUCUUCCUGCUGUUUUUAAGGAGUCACAUUCCUCAUUAGUCAGUUUCUUGAUUGCUCGUCUGUUGAAGAGGUGCUCCCUAGAAGAACCUGCCAUACGUUUCAAAGCACUAAAAUCAUCGUAGAUCUUUCUAUGGACCUUCAAGUCAUGACCCCAGGGAAGCCUCACUGGGAAGUCUACCAAGAGCUGCCUGAUUUGGAAGAAAGAUCUGAACUUGUGGGUUCCCAUUUGAUUUUUUUUUUCUCCUCAGGGGACUUAAAGAGACAUUAGAAAGAAAAAGCCUUCACAGAUUUGAAGAACUGGGCCCCCAGAUGAACUCACCUGCCUGGAAGCAACUGGGAAACCCUUCCAAUAAGUUCUGAUAAUAAAGCACUUCAGGGCCCCACGUCUUGAUUUUUGGCUUGACACAAAUACUUCGUCCUUUAUUUAGUGUGAUGGGGAGGGGCUUGGC
Rhinopithecus bieti (black snub-nosed monkey) is the source of this 1819-nucleotide long non-coding RNA. The record is from Ensembl. Lineage: Eukaryota; Metazoa; Chordata; Mammalia; Primates; Cercopithecidae.